CUGAAGGCUCUCAGCGGGCCUCCGGACGAGGGAUCAGUACCCGGCACGCGACAAGACUGGCCAUU
This is a regulatory RNA element of Cryobacterium roopkundense, 65 nucleotides long. NCBI's taxonomy places the organism in Bacteria, Bacillati, Actinomycetota, Actinomycetes, Micrococcales, Microbacteriaceae. The record is from Rfam.